This 494-nucleotide ribosomal RNA is filed under the name uncultured bacterium. Its description in RNAcentral is "partial 16S ribosomal RNA". It matches the Rfam family "Bacterial small subunit ribosomal RNA", at positions 28 to 523 of the family's 1533-position model. The record is from RNAcentral.
GAUGAACGCUAGCGGCAGGCCUAACACAUGCAAGUCGAGGGGUAGAACACUUCGGUGUUUGAGACCGGCGCACGGGUGCGUAACGCGUAUGCAAUCUACCUUGUACAGGGGAAUAGCCCAGAGAAAUUUGGAUUAAUGCCCCAUAGUAUAUAACCUUCGCAUGUUGGUUAUAUUAAAGUUCCAACGGUACAAGAUGAGCAUGCGUCCCAUUAGUUAGUUGGUAAGGUAACGGCUUACCAAGACGAUGAGGGGUAGGGGUCCUGAGAGGGAGAUCCCCCACACUGGUAAUGAGACACGGACCAGACUCCUACGGGAGGCAGCAGUGAGGAAUAUUGGUCAAUGGGCGCAAGCCUGAACCAGCCAUGCCGCGUGCAGGAAGACGGUCCUAUGGAUUGUAAACUGCCUUUAUACAGGAAGAAACCCUCCCACGUGUGGGAGAUUGACGGUACUGUAGGAAUAAGGAUCGGCUAACUCCGUGCCAGCCGCCGCCGUAA